GGUAAGUGGCUGGAGCAGUUUAACUAACAAGACUCAACUGGACAUUGACCUGUGGCAGAUGACUACAUAACAAGUCAUCCUACUCAGAUACAUACUAGAAGUCAUGUUGGAUUUUUGUAAUAUGACUGGGUGAUUUCUAAUGCAACGUAUGUCAAUCAUUAUAAAGCAGCCUCCAAUAGAGAUAAUAGACAAUGUAGGAAUGAAGGAUGCAGUAGAUUAUUAGUACACCACUCACUGUUAUUAUUCAUUUGGGAGACUUGCUGAUAGUUCAACUUUAUAUAAAUAUUACCACAAUAAACCCCUCACAAUAGACUUUUUGUGUUCCAUCAUGACAGAGUUCACCUGAGUGUGUCUUGGCAUUUUUUUAAACCUGAUGAAACACUCUGUCAUCACAGUUGCUCCACAGAUCCUGUCCUCGUCCAACUGCACCAAAGCUGCAGCCACAGUCAGCUGUUCCUGUUCCACUGUGGGAAACCCUUCUCCCAGAUUACAGUGGUAUUUGGACGGACUAUCUGUGACUCACUCGGACAAGGUAGACAUCAGCAGUGAGUCUCUGAACGGCACAGGUCUAAGGAGCACCAUCACCGUAAACCUCCCACAGGAGUUGGAUCUGUCCACUCUGUUCUGCCACAGCAGCAACUCUGUGGGUUCCACCGUUCGCCAGCUCAAUGUCAACUCUUUUGAGCAACAAACCUAUUCAAGGUUUGGUCAAGGUCUUUUUCCAGUCAUUUUGGCUGUUGCUGUUGUAUCUCUCAGUAUGAAUGUCUUCUACACAAUCUACAUGAUUUCUCUUCGCAGGAAAUCAAAACAGAAUGUGAUGCCGAGUGAAGAGGACACGACGUACAUGUCAUUAGACAGAAGAGACGUGUCUCCUGAAUAUGGGGUCAUUGGACAACUUCCAACAUGAGUAGAGGAUGUAUGUGUUUGUCAUUCUAAACUGGGCUCCAAAACACAAAUAUUCCACGGUUUCCCACAGCAGAUGGGACAAAUACUUAAUUCAGUGUAAAUACAUAUUAUUUCAUAAGAUUGCUGUUUUUUCAUUCUAUUAGUACUGGUGUUUUUUCAGGUCUAUACUUAUUUUUAUUUUGGCUGUACUUUUGUUUUCAGUGUUCUGCUCUUUUAGUUUUAUACAUCAUUAUUAUGUCAAAUGCUUGUACCUUCACACACAUAAUAUAUCAUAUAAGACAAUAUACAGUAUAUACAGCUCUGGAAAAAAUUCAGACACCACUGCAAUUUCCUGUGAAAUCAGCAUGUGUGCAUGUAUGACAGCCAUUCCAUUCCUGUGUGUGUUGAAUUCCAACACAAUCACACCUUAUUCUGCUGAAUAAACACCUGAUCCAUGUCUUAUUUAAGAAGGAGAAGUAUAAAAACCACUACUGGGGCCAUCACUAUCUUCUUACAAUAGAUAAAAACAGUGCUAUUAGUACCACAAAAGUAACAGGAAUCCAAAAAUAACUAUUGAAAACUACUGGACUUCUGCUCUGACAGUGUUCCCAAACUCUGAGGACUGGUUUUUCUAUCAGGACAAUGCUCCUGGCCUCAGCUAGGUCAGUAAAGGUGUGGAUGACGGACCACCAGAUGCAGACCCUGUCAUGGCCAGCCCAAUCUCCAGACCUGAACCCACUUUGAAAACUUCUGGAGGAAGAUGGAUGGACACAAACCAUGGAACAUGUCUGAGCUUCUUGAAUUUCUGUGCCAGGAGCUGCAUAAAGUCAUCCAACAGCAAUGGAGGAGAGACAAGACACGUGAAAGCUGUCAUUGAAAAUCAGGGUUGUUCCACCAAAUAUUGAUGUGUGAACUUUUCCCAAGUUACAACAUUAGUAUUGUGUUGUUUACAAAUUAAUAUGAACUGGUUUUCUUUGCAUUAUCUGAGGUCUGAAAACACUGCAUCUUUUUAUUUUGAAAUUUGUCAUGUUCUGCAAAUACAUGCUCUAAAUAACAAUAUUUUUAUUUGGAAUUUGGGAGAAAUGCUGUCAGUAGUUUAGAGAAUAAAACAAAAAUGUUCAUUUUACUCAAACACUUACCUAUAAAUGGUAAAAUCAGAGAAAGUGAUAAUUUUAUAGUGGUCUCUUAUUUUUUUCCAGAGCUGUACGUCUUGAAAUGAAGCCUGCGUUUUUCCUCCUUAAUUUUCUUCAUUUUAAAUAAUGCCCUUUUAUUGUAAAAGCUGAAUUUUUAAUAUAUGCAUGUAACAAAUAUUGAUAUAAAAGUUCCUUUUUCUUCAUCAGUCUUUGUCCUUCAUUCAUUUUUGCAGACAUUUCUAUUACUUUUACACCUAAAGUAACAAAUUCACCAUUUCAUGAUUUUCAUCUAAUUUUUAGUGAUCAAUUCUUUUUAAUACUCUGUUUUUAUUUUCAAUCAGUUGAAUGGGUUGCACUUUAAAAAACAGUUCAGUAAUACUAAACAAUGGAUUGGAAAAAUAAAUACUCUGAUGUGC
This 2434-nucleotide long non-coding RNA is filed under the name Sphaeramia orbicularis (orbiculate cardinalfish). Its description in RNAcentral is "lncRNA (ENSSORG00005011342.1)". The record is from RNAcentral. Lineage: Eukaryota; Metazoa; Chordata; Actinopteri; Kurtiformes; Apogonidae.